RNAcentral lists this ribosomal RNA (2953 nucleotides) under Gemmatimonas groenlandica. RNAcentral describes it as "Gemmatimonas sp. TET16 23S ribosomal RNA". It matches the Rfam family "Bacterial large subunit ribosomal RNA". Lineage: Bacteria; Pseudomonadati; Gemmatimonadota; Gemmatimonadia; Gemmatimonadales; Gemmatimonadaceae. The record is from RNAcentral.
AGUCAAGCGAACGAAGGUAUGUGGGGGAUGCCUGGGCACAUAGAGGCGAUGAAGGCCGCGGUAAGCUGCGAUAAGCUUGGGGGAGCGGCACACACGCAUUGAUCCCAAGAUGGCCGAAUGGGGAAACCCGGCCGGACGCGAGUCCGGUCACCGCGCAAGCGGAGCAAACCAGGGGAACUGAAACAUCUAAGUACCCUGAGGAAGAGAAAUCAAACGAGAUGCCCCGAGUAGUGGCGAGCGAAACGGGUACAGGCCAAACCGGUCUCCUUGUGGGACCGGGGUUGUAGGACCUACGGACGCACACAGCGACGUCAGUCGAAGUCCUCUGGAACGGGGCGCCAUAGACGGUGAUAGCCCGGUAGGCGAAGAUCAUGCACUGUGUGUAGUAGAGUUCCUGAGUAACGCCCGACCCGAGUAAUCGGGCGUGAAGCCGGGGGGACCACCCUCCAAGCCUAAAGACUCCUAUGUGACCGAUAGUGGACGAGUACCGUGAGGGACAGGUGAAAAGCACCCCUGUGCGGGGAGUGAAAGAGAUCCUGAAACCACAUACCUACAAGCGGUAGGAGGCUGGGCAUCGCAAGGUGUCACGGCUGACUGCGUGCCUUUUGCAUUAUGAUCCGGCGAGUUACUCCUCAGAUGCGAGGCUAAGCUGCUCAGCAGCGGAGCCAGAGCGAAAGCGAGUCCUGUAACGAGGGCGCAUGAGUAUCUGGGGGUACGACCCGAAACCAGGGCGAUCUACCCAUGAGCAGGGUGAAGCUGAGGUAACACUUAGUGGAGGCCCGAACCGGUAUGGGUUGAAAACCAUUCGGAUGACUUGUGGGUAGGGGUGAAAGGCCAAUCAAGCCUGGAGAUAGCUGGUUCUCCCCGAAAUCUAUUGAGGUAGAGCCUCGAGGCGUGUCAGCAGGGGGUAGAGCGACUGGAAGGGCGCGGGGGGUCGUAGACCCUACCAACCCCUACCAAACUCCGAAUACCUGUCUGAUGGACCUCGGGAGGCAGUCGCUGAGCGAUAAUGUCCAGCGGCGAGAGGGAAAGAACCCAGAACCACAGCUAAGGCCCCGAAGUGGCUGCUGAGUAUAGCGAAGGAUGUCGUCGUGCAGAGACAACUGGGAGGUUGGCUUAGAAGCAGCCAUUCCUUGAAAGAGUGCGUAAUAGCUCACCAGUCCAGCGUGAUGGCGCCGAGAAUGGUCGGGAUUAAGCAGCCCGCCGAAGCUUGGUCUUCAGACUUUGUCUGAGGGGUAGGGGAGCGUUCCCUGUGCGUUGAAGUGGGGGUGGAAACCAACCCAUGGAGCGAAGGGAAGUGAGGAUGCCGGAUUAAGUACGCGCAAAUGCGGGUGAGAACCCCGCACACCGUAAACCCAAGGAUUCCUGCGCCAUGGCAAUCAGCGCAGGGUGAGGCGGACCCUAAGGCGAGGCCCCAAAGGCGUAGUCGAUGGAUAGCCGGUCAAAAUUCCGGCCCCGUCUUGUAGUCGUUGAAGCAUCCAGGGACCCUGGAACGAAGCGCGAGCGGCUUUGUGGAUGGCCGUUCAAGGGCGUAGGCGCAAGCCGAGACCUGAGUACGAGGCUGCAGGGCAACCUAAGGCCAAGUCGUGUGGAGUCGGCAGGCAAGAAAAGCUGGGUGGGGAGACUAUGAGAUGUCCGUACCGUAAACCGACACAGGUGGGUUAGGCGAGUAGCCUCAGGUGAACGAGUGAAACGUGGUCAAGGAACUCGGCAUAAUGAUCCCGUAACUUCGGAAGAAGGGAUGCCCCCUUUGGUUGCCAGACUUGCUCUGGUUGCUCGAGGAGGCCGCAGAGAAUCGGCUCAAGCGACUGUUUAGCAAAAACACAGGUGCGUGCCAAGCCGCGUAAGGCGCCGUAUACGCACUGACGCCUGCCCGGUGCCGGAAGGUUAAGGGGAGAGGUUAGCCGCAAGGCGAAGCUUUGAGCCGAAGCCCCGGUAAACGGCGGCCGUAACUAUAACGGUCCUAAGGUAGCGAAAUUCCUUGUCGGGUAAGUUCCGACCUGCACGAAUGGCGUAACGACUUGAGCACUGUCUCGACCACGCGCUCGGCGAAAUAGCAGUCUCGGUGAGGAUUCCGAGUCCCCGCGACAGGACAAAAAGACCCCAUGCACCUUUACUGCAGCUUGUCAUUGGCGAUUGUAUAGGACUGUGUAGCAUAGGUGGGAGCCGGUGAGUCGGGGGCGCUAGCCCUCGAGGAGGCACCAGUGAAAUACCACCCUGUGCUGUAUGAUCGCCUCACCGCGGUAGGCAAACCCUAUCCGGGACCGUGGCAGGUGGGCAGUUUGACUGGGGCGGUCGCCUCCGAAAGAGUAACGGAGGCGCGCGAAGGUUGGCUCAGCGCGGUCGGUAAUCGCGCCUAUAGAGUGUAACGGCAGAAGCCAGCCUGACGGUGAGACCGACGGGUCGAACCGAGACGAAAGUCGGCCGUAGUGAUCCGGUAGCCCGGUGUGGAUCGGCUAUCGCGCAACGGAUAAAAGGUACGCUGGGGAUAACAGGCUUAUCGCGCCCGAGAGUUCACAUCGACGGCGCGCGGUUUGGCACCUCGAUGUCGGCUUGUCACAUCCUGGGGCUGGAGAAGGUCCCAAGGGUCCGGCUGUUCGCCGGUUAAAGUGGCACAUGAGCUGGGUUCAGAACGUCGUGAGACAGUUCGGUCUGUAUCCGUCGUGGGCGUUGGAGAAUUGAGGGGAGCGGACUUUAGUACGAGAGGACCGAGUCGGACGAUCCGCUCGUGUCCCGGCUGUGGCGCCAGCUGCAACGCCGGGUAGCGAUGAUCGGUGGCGAUAACCGCUGAAAGCAUCUAAGUGGGAAGCGCCCCCCAAGAUGAAUUCUCCCUGGAGCCUUGAGCUCCCUAAAGGGCCGGAGGAGACUACUCCGUCGAUAGGCAGCACGUGGAAGCGCCGCGAGGCGUUCCGAGCGCAGCUGUCCUAAUCGCCCGUGCGGCUUGACUCCCCCC